This 1008-nucleotide ribosomal RNA is filed under the name Triticum aestivum (bread wheat). RNAcentral's name for it is "partial small subunit ribosomal RNA". Lineage: Eukaryota; Viridiplantae; Streptophyta; Magnoliopsida; Poales; Poaceae. The record is from RNAcentral.
AUGGCGAGCAAGUCCGGCAGCGGUGUGGCGGACGAUGGCAGCUACGAGUACGAGGAGGAGUCGGUGCAGACCGCCCGCGGGAUGAAGCUCUUCACCUGCAGAUGGCUCCCCCCCAAGGGCCAGAUAGUCAAGGCCCUCGUCUUCCUCUGCCAUGGGUACGCGGUGGAGUGCAGCGUGACGAUGCGGGGGACGGGGGUGCGGCUGGCGCAGGCCGGGUACGCCGUGUACGGGGUGGACUACGAGGGCCACGGCAAGUCGGAGGGGCUCCAGGGCUACAUUCCCUCCUUUGACCUCCUCGUCAGCGACACGGACGCCUUCUUCACCGCCGUCGUCGCCUCCACGGCCAACACGGACCUCCCCCGCUUCAUCCUCGGCGAGUCCAUGGGCGGCGCCGUGGCGCUGCUCCUCCACCGGAUGCGCCCGGCGUACUGGACCGGCGCCGUCCUGGUCGCCCCCAUGUGCAAGAUCGCUGACGAGAUGCGGCCGCAUCCGGUGGUGGUGAGCGUCCUCAAGCUGAUGACCAACAUCAUCCCCACGUGGAAGAUCGUGCCGACCACGGACGUCAUCGACGCCGCCUACAGGAUGCAGGAGAAGCGCGACGAGAUCAGGAACAACCCCCACUGCUACCAGGGCAAGCCGCGCCUCAAGACCGCCUACGAGCUCCUCAAAGUCAGCCUCAACCUCGAGAACAACAUACUCUCAAAGGUGUCGUUGCCGUUCCUUAUCGUUCACGGAGGCGACGACAAGGUGACGGACCCGUCGGUGAGCGAUCUCCUCUACCGGUCGGCGGUGAGCCAGGACAAGAAGCUCAACCUUUACCCGGGCAUGUGGCACGCCCUCACCUCCGGCGAGAGCCCUGAAAACAUCCACACCGUCUUCCAAGAUAUCAUCGCAUGGCUCGACCAAAGAUCAUCCCCGAAAUCAUCAUCGUCGGCGGCCGCCUUGGACUUGUCAUCGGAGAUGGAACAGAAGGCCAAGCACGACGAGCAGAAUUUCGACAAGCAAUAG